GAGGAGUAAGAAAGGGAGCCGGCUCGGCCCAGGCCUGCAGCCCGCACGGGAGAGCCCCCCGGGGGCGGGCCGCGGCGGCAUGCGGCUCCCCGUCCGGCUCGGCCCGCUCCGCAGCACGCCCCUGGCUGCCCGGCCGCCGGGGAGGGGCAGGGCCAGGGCCAGGGCCGGCGGGCGGAGAGCCUUCAGCCGCGGGCGGCCCGGCGGUACCAUGGCUGAGGAGGCCAAGAGGCUGGCAGCCUGCGCGGCGGUGGACAAGCACGUCCAGAACAACCAAGUUCUUGGCAUCGGAAGUGGUUCUACGAUUGUCCACGCAGUGCAUCGAUUAGCUGAGAGGGUUAAACAAGAGAACCUGUCAAUUGUCUGCAUCCCUACGUCUUUCCAGGUGUAAAUGGCUGCCUGAGGUCACUGGCAAGGAAGAAUUGCUUUCAGUGGGCUUUUAUUCUUCUCCCUUCCCUGUUGUAAGGUUGGGUUAUUCCAUCACCAUCACUAAAGCUAGUGUCAGGCUUGAACAUCCAUUUAAGAAGCCAAUGAAUGGACGUAAAGGAGCGUAACGCCAGGUGCUUUGUGUUUUGUUGCCACUAGAGGGAGCGUAACUCACAGCUGCUUUGAAAUAAAUAUAGAUCACACCAAAGAGCUGUUUCAGGAGGUGUCCCACACUUUUUCUCCAAAGGAAAUCAGGAGGGACUCGAGAAUCCCAUACCUGCCUUCACGCUUAAAUGCAGGUGUCUCCCACCAGGCUGAUAGCCCCAUGCUAUUCAGUAUGGAGAGACCUGGAUGCAGCCCCAUCCCUUUGCAUCUAAGCAUUUCAGUUCAAAUCAGCAUUAUUUUGAUGAAAAAAUUCUGGUCUGGAAGCAUCAUUUCCUCCAUGCCAUACCUUUCUGCUGCUGAUUGCAGCCUCUCAGCAAGCUCAGGAUGCAGCACUGCAGCCCCCAUCCAUGCGGCAGCGAGGAGAACAACACGACAAGUCUGAUUUCCUUUCCUGCUGCUGGUAAAUAGUGUUUGCUGUGUUCUUGGUGCACAGGCCCGUCAGCUGAUCCUGCAGAAUGGCUUAACACUAAGUGACCUGGACCGACAUCCAGAGCUUGAUGUUGCCAUUGAUGGAGCGGAUGAGGUGGAUUCUGAUCUUAACCUUAUCAAAGGAGGCGGUGGUUGCUUGACGCAGGAGAAAAUAGUUGCAGGAUAUGCAAAAUGCUUCAUCGUUAUUGCUGAUUACAGGAAAAAAUCAGAGAACCUCGGGGAGCAGUGGAAGAAGGGAAUCCCUAUUGAAGUCAUCCCCAUGGCUUACGUCCCUGUCACCAGAGCCCUGACCAAAAACUUCGGAGGUGCUGCAGAGCUGCGGAUGGCUGUUAGCAAAGCAGGCCCCGUGGUGACAGACAAUGGGAACUUCAUCCUGGACUGGAAGUUUGACAAGGUUCACGAGUGGAGCGAAGUGAACACUGCCAUAAAAAUGAUACCAGGCGUGGUGGAGACGGGGCUGUUCAUCGACAUGGCGGAGGUGGUGUACUUUGGCAUGGAGGACGGCUCGGUCAGUGUGCGGGAGAAGCAGCCUCGCUGAUGGUGGCAUUCUGCCCGCUCUGCUUUGCCUUCAGCCAGUUUGAUUCAGCUGUCGUAACGGUGCCAACCUGACGUUAUGCCUUAACGAGCAGCGGUUAUCACAGAAGGUGGGCGGGGAGUUGAUCAGAAUCCGCUGAUAUGAUACUGAAUGUCUUUUGUAGAAAAACAAAACAAAACAAAACAAAAAGAUUCUCUAUUUCCAGAUAUAUAUAUAUAUAUUUUUACUUUACAAGAACGUUGUUCUUUUUUUAAAGAAUCAGUUAAACGAAUUGCUUUAACAUUUUAAUUUUAUUUUCUAAGAAAUAUUUACCAAAAAAAAAAGAAAAAGAAAAAAGAAUACUUUUUGGAUUCUGUUGUUGUUUUUUGUUUUUCCUUUUAUUGAACUGAACUUGAACCCUCCUGGUCGCUCUUAGUGCUCAGUGAUUGAUGUUACUAUCCUAACACAUCAUCCUUAACUACCCUGGCUGGGAGGAUGAUGUACAUAACGGGAGUGCAUCCAGUUGGGACCUACUGAUGCCUUAUUUGGAACCUUUUUGGUUCAGUAUUUUAUGCCUUUUAUUUUUCUAUACCACUGUUUUUUAAUAGUUCAGGAUGUCUAGUUAAUCAUCUGUGCAUAUGACAAAUCUCUGAGCCUGGGGACAUUGUGGUCUCUGCAUCCCUGUGUCUGGGAUAUUAAUAGGGGCCUUUCUGGGGCCUCUGUGUGGAAGAGAUGUUCAUCCUUUGAGCCAAAUUCUGUUCUACAACUGCAUUAAUCUAGUACCUCUGAUUAAAGUCUGUUCCAGUAGCUGGAGAUGUUCAGGAUUUCAUCCUUGUAUAAUGAGAGCAGAACUGGGCACUUGAUGAAGUUUACAAAAGCACAUUUGAGCAUUUUAGGGCAGUGUUCAGUGGCAAAUUAUUUGGUUUGGAAUGAAGGUUAAUUAUCACCUCUCGCAGCUGUUUGAUUUGUAGAAGGAUAGAGUGGAAUGCAAAGGAAAACCGAGUCUUCCUGCCUGAAUUUACCAUAUGUAGCAGGAGAGAGACACUCGUUCAAUAUAUUGUUCUCUGUGUAUAGGUGCUUUGCAUGAUUCUCGUGUCAAAAUGCAAGCCCUCUUUUUGUGUUAUAUACAUUGAAAUAAAGAGCUGUCAUAAC
This is an RNA transcript of Gallus gallus (chicken), 2683 nucleotides long. It is a transcript of the gene named ribose 5-phosphate isomerase A, with no coding region annotated. The record is from RefSeq and is marked validated. The transcript has 11 exons. Lineage: Eukaryota; Metazoa; Chordata; Aves; Galliformes; Phasianidae.